Molecule: long non-coding RNA, 905 nt
Organism: Zingiber officinale
Lineage: Eukaryota; Viridiplantae; Streptophyta; Magnoliopsida; Zingiberales; Zingiberaceae
Exons: 2
Source: RefSeq, a predicted model, not a curated record
ACGGCAUCUUUGAAGGUCUAGGGCUUUCUUCACCGCCGCACUUUUACUACUUUGCCAUGAUGAAAUCCUCAGAGGAUUGUCGAGUGAUUGGGGGCAUUGAGCCUCCAAUGUGAUACUCUCAAAACUGCAAAAGAUUUCUGAGCGAAGAUUUGAUUUUUAGAGCUAAAGUAGAUCGGUUGUUAGGAAGAAUUCGAUUUAUGGGUUAUCAAGAUUGAUGUUUGAAUCGCCGCCAAGGAUUCUGAUCGCGGAUUUAACUCUUCUCCUAUGAUUUUGCAGUAUUUUACUUUGUUUGCAGUUGUUGAUCGAAAUAAAUUGAUUUUUUUUUAGCAGUAAUGAAACCUCUCGUAUCCUGCGCCGCCCGUCUGGUAGCAGCCGCGUGUUCGCCGAGGCGAGCACGAUCGCGGGUGGUGCCGCUUGCUGCAGUGGCGCUUCCUAGCGGGCUCGUCGAUGAUGUACUGAUGCUGGCGGAAGCUGCAUCCUCUUUGCGCUCGGAGAGAAGCGGAGGAUUACGCGACGAGCACCUCUGCUUCGUUUCUUCGGGAUCUUCACUGCCGCUUGGCCAUUCAGAUGCUUCCUCCUCCGUCUUCUUCCAUACACAACCUUCCCGUCCUGUUCAGUGAGGUACUUUUAUCCGAUUGCUGCUCUCCGUGCAAGUGAUAACUUUCUACCUACUGUUUCGAUCAAACGAUUGCGAAUGAUUAUGCUUUUGUGUUUUAUAGAUUUAUGUGCUCUUGCGAAAUUAUUCAUUUUACUACAGAAACAGAUACGAUUUUAAUGAGGUCAAUAUGUGUUUUGGCCUUCAUCCAUGCUUUUCUUCACUCUUUUCAAUAGUGAAAUUGUACUGAUUGAACUGGUACAGUUUCAUUGGAACUCAUUUAACAAGAAAUGUGAUGAUUUUUGGUUUA